This is a long non-coding RNA of Dermacentor silvarum, 545 nucleotides long. RefSeq lists it as uncharacterized. Lineage: Eukaryota; Metazoa; Arthropoda; Arachnida; Ixodida; Ixodidae. The transcript is spliced from 3 exons. The record is from RefSeq and is a predicted model, not a curated record.
GCCAAGGUGGGAUUCGAACCCGCGUACCAUGAUCUCGAAGGGAGCGUUGUAACCACUGGGCCAUACAGGCACGCCUCCGUAGCAUGUAUUCAUGCGAACCAUAUUAUUGCGUUCGAGCGUCGUAGUCUUCCUCAAAAAAAAAAAAAAAUGGCGAUACGUCAUUGAGGCGAGGCCCAGCCUCUCCACGGAUUUGUUGUGCAAACAGUCGCACUACAGCACAGAGCGUGUUCCUAGUCCCUAGGGGCGUAAAACCAAAUACCUAGACUGAUCUAUGGAGCGUGUGGCUUAGCGUCUCGGCCCUCGGCAAAAGAAAGUACCUAGAAACAUGGUACGCGCGAGCGGCGCAUGGCGGCGCCAGCGAUCGAGCACUGGGCUUGGGCGCAAAUAGAAACUGGCGACCUGCGUAAGGGCCCUUUAAGAACAGCGUGCGCUUUUUUUCUCUUUUUUUCUUUCCGCGCAGCUAAGUGCACCCAUCAAGUACUUGCCCAAAAAUGUGUGCCGUCUUCCUCUAACUGUGCUUAGGUCAUGCUAUUUCUCGCUCCGGU